Molecule: ribosomal RNA, 500 nt
Filed under: uncultured bacterium
Lineage: Bacteria
Description: partial 16S ribosomal RNA
Rfam family: Bacterial small subunit ribosomal RNA
Source: RNAcentral
AUUGAACGCUGGCGGCAUGCCUUACACAUGCAAGUCGAACGGCAGCUCGGGAGCAAUCCUGGUGGCGAGUGGCGAACGGGUGAGUAAUAUAUCGGAACGUGCCCAGUCGUGGGGGAUAACGUAGCGAAAGCUACGCUAAUACCGCAUACGAUCUACGGAUGAAAGCGGGGGAUCGCAAGACCUCGCGCGAUUGGAGCGGCCGAUAUCAGAUUAGGUAGUUGGUGAGGUAAAGGCUCACCAAGCCGACGACCUGUAGCUGGUCUGAGAGGACGACCAGCCACACUGGGACUGAGACACGGCCCAGACUCCUACGGGAGGCAGCAGUGGGGAAUUUUGGACAAUGGGCGCAAGCCUGAUCCAGCAAUGCCGCGUGCAGGAUGAAGGCCUUCGGGUUGUAAACUGCUUUUGUACGGAACGAAACGGCGAGCUCUAAUACAGUUUGCUAAUGACGGUACCGUAAGAAUAAGCACCGGCUAACUACGUGCCAGCCGCCGCGGUAA